Molecule: long non-coding RNA, 450 nt
Filed under: Notechis scutatus (mainland tiger snake)
Lineage: Eukaryota; Metazoa; Chordata; Lepidosauria; Squamata; Elapidae
Description: lncRNA (ENSNSUG00000008189.1)
Source: RNAcentral
CAGCGGGCCGAGAGCAGGAGAGGCGAGGGGUGGUAGGUCGGCCGGUCGGUCAACAAGCGCAAGGCCCAGCUUCUCCCUUUCCGGGGCCCCGUCCCGGUUUUUGAGCUCGGCCCCCGCAGGGCCGCGGCGGCGGCUUCUUCUGGCUGAGGGGAGGGGGCGAAGAUGUAUUUAUUCCAAAUAUAGCUGCUCUUUGAUGGGAGAUGGAGGCUGUCAUACAAAGAAAAGCUUGAACAAAAUAACUGGAACUUCACAGCAAAUAUAAAUAGUGUUAUACAUUCCAAAUCCUUUGUUAGAAUACUCAGCUGAGGAUGAUGGAAGAUAAAGUCCAAAACGUAUGAGCAAGCAUAGAAUCAAAAUCAGGUGAAGUAUUAGUACCGCUUUAUAAAGUCUUAGUAAGACCACACUUGGAGUACUGCAUUCAGUUUUGCUCACCACAUUACAAAAAAGGAC